RNAcentral lists this ribosomal RNA (419 nucleotides) under uncultured bacterium. Its description in RNAcentral is "bacterial SSU rRNA". It matches the Rfam family "Bacterial small subunit ribosomal RNA", at positions 74 to 524 of the family's 1533-position model. The record is from RNAcentral.
GAACGUGGCCGCUUAGGUUACAUAGCGUACGGGUGCGAAAAAUUUGCUUUGAUAUUAUGUUGACUGCUUAAACCUUUUUGUUAAAUCAGUUCUGGCGACUCAAAUUGCGGAUUCGCAAUUUGAGUCGCCAAGGUUUACCGGCUUAAUUAGAAACACUUUGGGAUCAGGUAAUUGAGUUAAAUCAAGCCUACGACCCCUAGCUGGUCCGAUAGGAGGAUUAGCCACACUAUAACUGAAAACGGUCUAUACUUCGCUUGAAGGCAGCAGUGAGGAAUAUUGGACAAUGGGCGAAAGCUUGAUCCAGCAAUGUCGCGUGGGUGAAGAAGGCCUUAGGUUGUAAAACCCUUUCGUUAAAUAAAAAUGUCUGAUUUAUUUAAAGAAGAAGUCCCGGCUAACUUCGUGCCAGCAGCCGCGGUAAU